GUCUAUGGCCAUACCACCCUGAACACUCCCGAUCUCGUCUGAUCUUGGAAGCUAAGCAGGGUCAGGCCUGGUUAGUACUUGAAUGGGGGAAUGAUGACUUAAAUUAUCCAGUGGUGAUAAUUU
RNAcentral lists this ribosomal RNA (123 nucleotides) under Microtus ochrogaster (prairie vole). Lineage: Eukaryota; Metazoa; Chordata; Mammalia; Rodentia; Cricetidae. The record is from RNAcentral.